This is a long non-coding RNA of Lontra canadensis (Northern American river otter), 617 nucleotides long. RefSeq lists it as uncharacterized. Lineage: Eukaryota; Metazoa; Chordata; Mammalia; Carnivora; Mustelidae. The transcript is spliced from 3 exons. The record is from RefSeq and is a predicted model, not a curated record.
AGAAGUGAGAAGAUGUUGCAUUUAGGAAAGCUGUCGGGACCCCACACCUUGGAUUACACAGUCUAUUGAAAUCAAGGUCAACUGGAAACGAAUACUCUUUUUCCAUUCUUCUUUUUGUGCCUUCAGAUUUCAGCUGAAACCAUUGAGUGAAUAAGGCCCCAGAUACAGACCACUGGAGACCACCUCUGGGCCGUGGCUCACUGUGGUGGUUUUGAUGAACACCAUCAUCUUCAACAUGCCUGUAGAAUUAGGAACUACCCCUCCAAUGUUAGAAACACAAAGCACUGCUCUUCCUGAUAAUGAAUAAACAGGAAAACUCUAGGCCAAGAAAAACUUAUAACAACAACAACAAAGAGCCCACUCUAGCCCUAGUCAGUGAUUUAUCCAAAUGAAAAAGGACAGCAGUCUCAUAUGUGAAAACAAGUCUGGCUCUUGUGAAGCUUUUCUGACAGCUCCUUUCUGAAGGUGAACUGUACGGAAAUAGAUUCCCAAGUAAAUCAUUUACAGUAUGCUAGUGGUGGAUGUUGAGAGUACUUGGUAUUAGUCUUCUGUUUUUAUAUCAGAGAAUGUUAAAUGCAUUGUGUUCAUGCUAACCUGAUUAAAUAAAGGGCUCAUGA